RNAcentral lists this ribosomal RNA (253 nucleotides) under uncultured bacterium. RNAcentral describes it as "partial 16S ribosomal RNA". It matches the Rfam family "Bacterial small subunit ribosomal RNA", at positions 524 to 776 of the family's 1533-position model. The record is from RNAcentral.
UACGAAGGGUGCAAACGUUGCUCGGAAUUAUUGGGCGUAAAGCGCACGUAGGCGGAUUUGUAAGUCAGGGGUGAAAUCCCGGGGCUCAACCUCGGAACUGCCUUUGAUACUGCAAAUCUCGAGUCCGAUAGAGGUGGGUGGAAUUCCUAGUGUAGAGGUGAAAUUCGUAGAUAUUAGGAAGAACACCGGUGGCGAAGGCGGCCCACUGGAUCGGUACUGACGCUGAGGUGCGAAAGCGUGGGGAGCAAACAGG